This 262-nucleotide long non-coding RNA is filed under the name Solanum tuberosum (potato). Its description in RNAcentral is "long non-coding RNA (STUB_LNC008505)". Lineage: Eukaryota; Viridiplantae; Streptophyta; Magnoliopsida; Solanales; Solanaceae. The record is from RNAcentral.
GGAUUACUAGCGAAUUAGGAUAUGGUUUUCUAGUCUAGACUCAAGGGCUUUUGAGCUGGGGUAAUUAGUAGCUAAAAGUUCCUCCGGAGAAAGUGUAGUGGAGUUUCACUUCUACUUGGCAUAUAGUGAUCAGUUAUUCUGUCUGAAAGAAAGCAAGCCGUCCUGAUUAGGGCUGGGAUUUAAGAGCAUUGUCUCUACACUCUACAGCCUGUAAUGAAACUCUCAUUUGUUUUUGUGAGGAUUCUUGAGAAUAACUAAAAAG